UGAAGUAUAAAAAUGGCAUUGAACAAAGCUGAUUAAUUAUAAAAUAAAAAAUAAAAAACUAAAAAUGAUGCAUAGCAGCAAGAAAGGUGAUGUGCAGCAGGGAGAGCUAUACUCUCCGGAAAAUGGUGAGGGCAGAAAUGUCAAAAAUGUACAAGUCGAUCAUCAAGGCAAGUUGUACUCUCCCAAUCCCAACACCCAAAUGGAAAAAAGCCCCAUUAAUAAUGUGGUACAAGUGAAUGAUGGAGAAAGUGAUGAUUUUGAAGUGGAAAAGAAUGAGCAGCAGACAAAUGGCCACAAGUCUUCCAGCAAACUCUAAAUAAAAUCACAUAUGUAAUCAUAAAUUUUAUUUUAUUUUUCACCAAGAUAUAUAAUAAUUGUGAUUUAUUCGGGCACAUUAA
Andrographis paniculata is the source of this 398-nucleotide long non-coding RNA. RefSeq lists it as uncharacterized. The record is from RefSeq and is a predicted model, not a curated record. NCBI's taxonomy places the organism in Eukaryota, Viridiplantae, Streptophyta, Magnoliopsida, Lamiales, Acanthaceae. The transcript has 2 exons.